Molecule: ribosomal RNA, 463 nt
Filed under: uncultured bacterium
Lineage: Bacteria
Description: partial 16S ribosomal RNA
Rfam family: Bacterial small subunit ribosomal RNA
Source: RNAcentral
CUACGGGGGGCAGCAGUGGGGAAUAUUGGACAAUGGGGGAAACCCUGAUCCAGCAAUGCCGCGUGUGUGAAGAAGGCCUGCGGGUUGUAAAGCACUUUCGGUUGGGAGGACUGCUUCUAGCACUAAUAUUGUUGGAAGUUGACGUUACCUUCAGAAGAAGCACCGGCUAACUCCGUGCCAGCAGCCGCGGUAAUACGGAGGGGGCAAGCGUUAAUCGGAAUUACUGGGCGUAAAGCGCGCGUAGGCGGCUAGAUCAGUCGGGUGUGAAAGCCCCGGGCUUAACCGGGGAACUGCAUCCGAUACUGUCUAGCUUGAGUACAGGAGAGGAGAGUGGAAUUCCACAUGUAGCGGUGAAAUGCGUAGAUAUGUGGAGGAACACCAAUGGCGAAGGCAGCUCUCUGGCCUGAUACUGACGCUGAGGUGCGAAAGCGUGGGGAGCAAACAGGAUUAGAUCCUGGUAGUC